Non-coding RNA from Peromyscus maniculatus bairdii (prairie deer mouse), 1979 nucleotides. NCBI's taxonomy places the organism in Eukaryota, Metazoa, Chordata, Mammalia, Rodentia, Cricetidae. The record is from RefSeq and is a predicted model, not a curated record.
AGGAGAGGAACAUCAGGACAUCUUUAGGGAGGGACGUCGUACUGGGUGCUAAGGUUUAGAUCAGUGAGUGGCCGGGAAGGCAGGGAGCAGAGAGGGCCCCGUCAGGAGCGUGUACUCCAAAGGCAGAAACUGUUUUUCACUUUGAAUUUUGUUUUUCUAGUGCCGGGGAUAGAACCCGGGGCCUCACGUGUGAUAGACAAGCAAUCUGCCGCUCAGCUACAGUCACAGCUCUUCCAGCUUCUCGGGUUCAAGCUUCAGCAUUGCCUUAGUGCUGGUGUUUGAGGAAGCAGUGUACGAAGAAGACCGAAGUGCCGUGGAGGAGGUGGCCUGACUCCACAGCAGUAUCAGAACGGUCCUGCGUAGGCCCAGAAGCCAUGACAUCGGGGCUCAAAUCUCACCGGCUCUGUGGAGCAUGUGGAGGUCCCUCGGCGGGUUCCAGCGUCCCUGAGCCACACUUCCUCAGCCGCAGGAUGGAGAUGAUAAUGCUGCAGUGGGCUUCAUGCAUUGGCCAUGAGAAUGAGUUAAUGUGUGCAAACAGGAAACAGAAAGAAGCUGGUGUGUGUGUGUGUGUGUGUGUGUGUGUGUGUGUGUGUGUGUGUGUCAAGAGCACAGAGGGCACAUAGGAUAAAGAAGCUGAGGCACAUACCCAGAGCCAAGAAGCCAGUACUCACCUCGUGUGGACUCUCCCCCAACAUUAGCUCUGUUCCUGGCCAGGUACCAAGCUUUGGCCAAUGGGGCUUUAGGGGCUUGAAAGUAGCAGGCCUGUUUUCUCCGAGUGCCGGGAACCCCACUGCUGAGUUCCACUUGGCUGUUCCCAUCUGAGGACUCCUGAGCCUCCGGCCAAUAGCUGAUAUCACCAUCAGGGUGUAGAAGACACCAUCUGGGGACUGGGUCUCCAGCCACAGUGAAGCAUGCAGUCCCAGCUGAUGCCAUGGGAGAUGGGAUCGAGCUGUCCCUAUUCUGGCUGCAGAAUCAUGAGGAAAUGUAAAGGUUACGACUUUGGGAAAAGUGGGCCCAGCUUGGACCAGUGGCAUCAACAUUAUCAGGGUUGCAGAAACUGCAUUUUGUCUAGAUCCCAGAGGACUUGCGUGCACAUAACAGCUGGAGGAGCCCUGCUGCUGGCGAGACCCUUGCCAGUGCCCUGCAAGCAGACAUGGUAUUGAGACCAUCUCACCAACAAUGCCUGCCUCACUGGGACCAGCUUUACAUCUCGCUGCUGCUUCUACGGGCACAGGAGGUCAGAGAAGUAUGGCUUCUCCCAGAGAAGAAGGAGACUAGCCAGGGGCUGAGCCUGAGAAGAUCGCUGGCUUUCGCUUUCAUCUCCCUUCAUCACCCCACGCUUCUUCUCUUCCUCACCGAAAUAGCCAUUCUCAAGUGUUUGAUGGGCGUCUUUUCAUUUGCAUGUGUUCCACAGAAUAUGUGAUGCUGUUUGAUGGGUACUUGAUUUUUUUUUUUAAAGAUUUAUUUACUUAUUAUGUAUACAGGAGAGGGUACCAGAUCUCAUUACAGAUGGUUGUAAGCCACCGUGUGGUUGCUGGGAAUUGAACUCAGGUACUCUGGAAGAGCAGUCAGUGCUCUUAACCUCUGAGCCACCUCUCCAGCCCCGGGGUACUUGCUUUUGAUUUGUGUAGAUAUGUCCCACUUUAGACCUCAUUUUAUGCCCUACCCCAUGCUGUAUUUUUGACAACUAACCAUGUUGCCAAGUGUGGUAAUUUGAAUGUAAUUGGUCCCCAUAAUCUCGUAGGGAAUGGCACUAUUAGGAGGUGCGGCUUUGUUGGAGUGGGUAUGGCCUUGUUGGAGGAAGUGUGUCACUGUGGGGGUGGGCUUUGAGAUUUCCUAUGCUCAAGAUACUGCCCAGUGUAACAAUCAACUUCCUGUUGCCUGCAAGAUGUAGGAUUCUCAGCAACUACUCCAUCACCACGUCUGCCUGUGCGCUGCCACAGUGAUAAUGGACUGAACCUCUGAAGCUGUGAGGGAGC